RNA transcript from Caenorhabditis elegans, 1457 nucleotides. It is a transcript of the gene named Non-coding transcript of protein-coding gene K07E8.6b, with no coding region annotated. Lineage: Eukaryota; Metazoa; Nematoda; Chromadorea; Rhabditida; Rhabditidae. The transcript has 4 exons. The record is from RefSeq and is marked reviewed.
AUGGCUCCAAAUAAUCAGAAUACGAAAAGCAACAAAAAGAAGGCUCAGAAAGAGCCCAGCGCUCAGGAAUUGUGGGAAACUUUUCCGGAGGCUCUCCGGAGAGCUAUACAGGAAAAUUCAAUGACCCAAUUUGAUGAAGCUGUAAAAAAUGUUUUUACGGAGACCCCAGAAAUCCUACGGAAGCAAUGUAUUCAAGCUGGUUUCCUGAAUGAGGGUACUGGAAAUUUUAGCACUUUGGAGGAUAUAAAGUCCCAAGACAUGCUUUCCCACUUCGAGACCAACUCCGCUCUACUGGAGCAGCUCUCUGAGCUCCAAGGUAGCACUGAGCCAUUUCUCACGGAGCAUCCACAUAUGGCAGCGGAGCACACAGUAAAUUGGCUCACAAUUGCAGCACUUAGCUCAGCAAUCGACAAAAAUGAAGAAAAAUUGGCAGCUUUAUCAGAAAAAUGCGUUGUUUUUCAACUUUUCCUGGCGUCCGCCACAGGUCAGAAGCAAUUUUUCAAAAAAUUCGAAGUUUCUGAGAAUCUGGAUGAGGUUAAAGCUUUUAAGAGCCGGAUGAGGAGCAGAGCUCAGGCAAAAGGAGAGAAACCAGAGAAAAUUAAUUUGAAUCAAGGUACUGUCGAUUCUAGGCAGUUUUUGGAGGAGCUGAAGCAGUUGGAAAAUUUGAAAAAGGUGAGAUUUAUCGGGAAAUUUGUAAGAAAAUUGAUUUUAAUUGUUAAAUUCAAAUUCUACGAGUAAAACUACCCCUGCUCCAGAAUUUUUAGCUCAAAAUCUUAAAAAAUGACCAAACUCUGAUUUAAAGAAUUAUAUCCAAAACAAUUUUUUUUUUCCAAAAUUUUUUUAUUUGAAAAUCUUCAAACACAUUUUUGCAAAAUUGCUACUUUUUCUGUACUUCUAAGUUUAAAUUCAGACACCGUUUAGUUCAAAAUCUUUAAAUUUGGCAAAACUCCGUAUCACAAUAGUUUGGCUAGAGUCGCUACUCAGCCAAUUUGCCAAGCAUGAUCUACCGGGCUGAAAACUGCGUUAGAGGUGGAAUUUGAUUUGUGAAACUUGGUUUAAAAUGUUCAAAAUUAAGUAGAAACUCGAAUGCUGCUUUAAAAAAAUUUCAGACAGAAUUCGCCGUUCAAAACUACAACAAGCUGGUGAUCCGUGGAGAUCGUAUGGUCAAAGAAUUCCUUAUCGAAAAUCCGGAACUUUUAACGGAAGAAGCCAUCAAGUACCUAAGGAUCCUGGCCGACACGUACAGCAAAGACUUAAAUGCCAAAAAAUGCACGGAUGUUAGCAAGAAGCUGACAUAUAUUCUACAUUUUUUAACGAAAAAAAUGACUGUCGCUGAAUAUUUUGUGGAUCUUCUGGCCGCUGAUUCAGUGAAGGAGUACAAUGAUAUUUGGCUCGUGGAGCUGCGGAAAAUGAAGCAAAUGAUGGUGGAUUAUAAGAAGGCCAGGAAUCCCGAAUAG